GACGAACGUUGGCGGCGUGCUUAAUACAUGCAAGUCAACUGAAGCAGUGGUAGCAAUAUCGCUGUGGAGGUGGCGCACGGGUGAGUAACACGUAGGUAAUCUGCCUUCAGGUCUGGCAUAACUCCGGGAAACCGGGGCUAAUAGCAGAUGAUGCAGCGGCUCGACAUCGAGACAGUUGUUAAAGCUAUGGCGCCUGAAGAUGAGCCUGCGGCUGCUUAGCUAGUUGGCGGGGUAACGGCCCACCAAGGCAACGAUCAGUAGCUGGUCUGAGAGGAUGAUCAGGCACACUGGAACUGAGACACGGUCCAGACUCCUACGGGAGGCAGCAGUAAGGAAUAUUGCUCAAUGGGAGAAAUCCUGAAGCAGCAACGGCGCGUGAGGGACGAAGGGCUUUUGCAUGUAAACCUCUGUAGUGAGAGAAAAAAAUCCCAAUCUUUGGGACAUGAUGGUAUCUCAAAAGUAAGCCCCGGCUAACUACGUG
Molecule: ribosomal RNA, 481 nt
Filed under: uncultured bacterium
Lineage: Bacteria
Description: partial 16S ribosomal RNA
Rfam family: Bacterial small subunit ribosomal RNA
Source: RNAcentral